Non-coding RNA from Prunus avium (sweet cherry), 908 nucleotides. Lineage: Eukaryota; Viridiplantae; Streptophyta; Magnoliopsida; Rosales; Rosaceae. The record is from RefSeq and is a predicted model, not a curated record.
CUUAACUCGCAGGAGAAGACGGUUGCCUAGAAAAGAAGAAGAGCUGAAGAACGUGGAGAAAAAAUCCAUGGGUUCAGAACCCACGAAGCUGGCGGUUUCCACAAUUUCAGAACCAUCACAAUCAUGUUACUUAUAUUUUCUUCCUCCACUUUACUAGCACCCUUUUCUGCUUCAGAAAUCGAAAUUGCGAGUAACCACAGUGUACAGACUGGUCAGACCCAAAAACCUUCCUUUCUCAUUCCACCCCACACCUGCUACCCCGUUCGAGCCCGUCACUGUUCCAUUCGAUCAAAGUUUGCGCGGCAACGCCGUCGAUUUGCCCGAGUCCGAUCACCGAGUCCGUCGCCGAGUUAAAGGUUUAGAGCCUGAGCAGAUUUCUGUUUCGCUUUCAGCCAAUUACGACUCUGUUUGGAUCUCCUGGGUUACAGGGGAAUCGCAAAUUGGCUACAAGAUAAAGCCAUUGGACCCCAAAAGUGUGGCAAGUGUUGUUCGUUAUGGGAAGCUGAGAUAUCCACCAACGCAUGAAGCAAGCACCAAUGAAGAAAGCAUUUAGAUUUGAUGGGUUUGAUGUCAAUGUAUGAAUCAUAGUUAAGCAGUCAUCCAAUUGCUUCAGGUAUGACUUAUGAAAAUUAACAAGUUUUUCAAAUCUACAUGUCUUAUUGAAACUUUGGAAUUUUAUCUCAACAGAUUCAAUCGUCUCUCACCUCUCUAACGUAUAAGCAAUCACUGAAGCAAAGAAGCAAAGAUAACUUUCAGGAGAGCUUGGGUACGAAAUCCAAAUACGAGAAUCAGUCGUGAGCCCAAAUUGUCUAACCAUUCUUCGCUUUACUCUCUUUCUAGCAGUCGUGAGCUUGGGCAAAUCUGAGCAACGCUCUCUUGGAAGGUGCACUUUCCACAGGCAACACAUC